RNAcentral lists this long non-coding RNA (1420 nucleotides) under Bactrocera tryoni. RNAcentral's name for it is "uncharacterized LOC120775285, transcript variant X3". The record is from RNAcentral. Lineage: Eukaryota; Metazoa; Arthropoda; Insecta; Diptera; Tephritidae.
UCAGUUUCGAACGUGAGCUUAUACGAGACGGUUCGCUACUUGUCGGCAGAAACGAGCAAUGCGGAAAUAGAAGAAUACAAGCAUACCUAAAAAGCAGAGAGCAGUUAAAAAUUAAAAAAAAUUAUUAACAAAACAAUAAACCUUAGAAAAAUUGUUAUUAUUUAUAAUACAAUGGUAAAGAAGAUUAAAAGCAAGCUGCAGCAAGACAACAAAUACUUGCCAACUACGAUACCAUAAAAAAUAAUUAAAAAGCCGAAGCCAGUGACUAGCAAGAGGUGGUUAAGAGGAAAUAAACGAUAAGUGGUGCCGGUAAAAAAUCGAACAGAAAAAGCACCAAUAAGAGACUGAGUGAAAAUUUUGAUAGCGGCCAAGCAUACCUUUCUGCUGAACAAAUAAAGACCAUGUGCUUGCGUGUGUGUUAAUGCGGUUAUUAGUCCGGCGGGUUAUAUCGCGCUCGCGAAAAAAGUCCAAACAGCGUGGGCGCAUACAUUUUAAUUAAACGCCCAGGCGCGUCCUUUAACAGCCGUUAGUGCUUUUUGUGUCUCAGUCCACGGUUUCCGUCGUCCAAUCAGCGUCAUCUUCAGCUAUAUCCGUUGAGACAAUGAAUAACAGAACAAGGAUCCGAAACAUGACUCUGGAAGAACAACAAAAUCACAGUCUCCGUAAAUUUCAAAGAUUUCCUUGCCCUCACCACAAAGCAUACACUAAUCGCAUGGUCUUAUGCAAAUAUUACAAAAUGAACCGCAGAAAGUUGAAUGGAAAUCGGGCUAAGCUCAACAAGGAGUCUACUCCGCAAGCGUAUGUGCAUUCUUGUGAGGACAUAUACUGGAACACGUAGUGUUGCCCACGGCGUAUGAGUAACAUACUCCCACAAAUAUGCGAAAUUUUGACUGAGAUAAUAUUGAAAAUAGUGUUUGAACAUAAAAUCAUGUUUUACCAUUUGCUGCAAUCUGCCAAUGUCACUUGGUAAAGACCACAGGUCGUCCAACCGUUUUGACACGCUAGCCAAACAGGUGAGCAGUAGGAUAUACAGGCAGACGAAAAAGCAAAUCGAUUGUAGAUCAGGGUAACUCCUUAACUUAGCUAUGUCGACCCAUUACAUACCUGAUGACAUCCUCAUGACCUCAAACGCUCAGGCACUUUGGAUGCUAAUGUGGCCGAUAUAAAAGAUAGCAACUAUACCAUUAUGGCUGCAACCUGAUUUACAUCUCAUAGCACAAUAGCAAUAAAUACUAUUUGGGUUUCGAUAUCUCGCCACUGUCGCGGAUAGACAAGCUAAUAUGUGAUGCGUUAUGAUGAGAAUCUUAAUUUCGAAGUCCACAUCAGUGAAAACCUGAGAUAGAAUUGCACGGAUUGAAAUUAAUUUUAUUAAUUAUAUUUUAAAUAAAUAUCUCAAGUUUUAAUGAUAAUAAAAGCGCAA